GGGCCGUGAUGGCGCUGGCCACCUCUGGAACCUGAUUGGUCAACUCAGGCGCCACCCCAGUUGAUUGACAGCUUACUGUACGUCUCGUUGAAAGAAGCGCAUUGUCGAAAGACAAACGUAGAUUUAACAUCUUUGAAAACACGAAUGGACCCAGAGGACAUACUUUAAAUUCCUGAUUGUGAACGGACCAAAGACCCCAAAAGCACACCUUCCUUCUCUUCACCUCGCUCUCACCAUCCGAUGUUGAAGACCUGGCUUUCCAGAGGAUGCACAUUCGCCAUGGUUGCCUCAGUGACCCUGAGGUCAAAGAGGGAAUCCUGUACAGGUAACCAUGUUCCAGGCCAGAGAAUGACCGACAGAGUUCUCCUGCUCCUGUUCUCGUGCUUCUCUCUUCUGGACAAACUCCAUCCACAAUCCAAACACCACCCACUGCUGUGCCCGAGUCUCAGUCCUAGUCUCAACCAGCCAGACCUAAAGCAAUCCACAGGCUGCAGAUUCUGCCCCAAGGGAGCGUGGAACCUCCGAUUCAAUUGGAGUGCAGGAACGAAGAAGCAUAGAGAUCACACACAUGGGCAGCAGCACACUUGUGUUCUCUCACAUUUUUCUCCUUUCUGCAAGCAGGAUUGGUUCUAACCCUUCAUGCACGUUUAAGUGCUGGGGUUUUCUUAUUGUAGUUUAUUAUUUGUAGUUUGGGUUGGCGAUUAAUGGUUGUUCAGUUUUUCGUCUCUUUUGUUCCUUUUGACUGGGAUCUUCAGCCCCCUUUUGUUUGUCCCUGGUUUUCUUUUGGGAUAAUUUGAAUAAUUUAUAAAGCUUGUGAGUUAGCCUUUUAAAGCUCAUGCAAUUUGGAUAUUUGAAUAGAUGAUGGUGUUGUUUGAAUGUGGUCUAAUUAAACAUUGAUUGUGAGUUAAAAUCUUGUUUUACUUGAUUUCAUCUUCAAGGUACUGAAGAGCUGUUUUCACAAUGAAU
RNAcentral lists this long non-coding RNA (966 nucleotides) under Sparus aurata (gilthead seabream). Its description in RNAcentral is "lncRNA (ENSSAUG00010022929.1)". The record is from RNAcentral. Lineage: Eukaryota; Metazoa; Chordata; Actinopteri; Spariformes; Sparidae.